AUUGAACGCUGGCGGCAUGCCUUACACAUGCAAGUCGAACGGCAGCACGGGUGCUUGCACCUGGUGGCGAGUGGCGAACGGGUGAGUAAUACAUCGGAACGUACCUUAUCGUGGGGGAUAACGCAGCGAAAGCUGUGCUAAUACCGCAUACGCCCUGAGGGGGAAAGCGGGGGGUCGCAAGACCUCGCGCGAUUAGAGCGGCCGAUGCCUGAUUAGCUUGUUGGUGGGGUAAAAGCCCACCAAGGCGACGAUCAGUAGCUGGUCUGAGAGGACGAUCAGCCACACUGGGACUGAGACACGGCCCAAACUCCUACGGGAGGCAGCAGUGGGGAAUUUUGAACAAUGGGGGCAACCCUGAUCCAGCAAUGCCGCGUGAGUGAAGAAGGCCUUCGGGUUGUAAAGCUCUUUUGUCAGGGAAGAAACACCGGCUCUAACACAGUCCGGGAAUGACGGUACCUGAAGAAUAAGCACCGGCUAACUACGUGCCAGCAGCCGCCGUAA
RNAcentral lists this ribosomal RNA (501 nucleotides) under uncultured bacterium. Its description in RNAcentral is "partial 16S ribosomal RNA". It matches the Rfam family "Bacterial small subunit ribosomal RNA", at positions 30 to 523 of the family's 1533-position model. The record is from RNAcentral.